This 237-nucleotide ribosomal RNA is filed under the name uncultured bacterium. RNAcentral's name for it is "partial 16S ribosomal RNA". It matches the Rfam family "Bacterial small subunit ribosomal RNA", at positions 99 to 334 of the family's 1533-position model. The record is from RNAcentral.
CGAACGGGUGAGUAACGCGUGAGGAACCUGCCUCAAAGAGGGGGACAACAGUUGGAAACGACUGCUAAUACCGCAUAAGCCCACGGGUCGGCAUCGACCUGAGGGAAAAGGAGCAAUCCGCUUUGAGAUGGCCUCGCGUCCGAUUAGCUAGUUGGUGAGGUAAUGGCCCACCAAGGCGACGAUCGGUAGCCCGACUGAGAGGUUGAACGGCCACAUUGGGACUGAGACACGGCCCAG